UGGGGAAUAUUGCACAAUGGGCGCAAGCCUGAUGCAGCCAUGCCGCGUGUAUGAAGAAGGCCUUCGGGUUGUAAAGUACUUUCAGCGAGGAGGAAGGCGGUAAGGUUAAUAACCUUAUCGAUUGACGUUACUCGCAGAAGAAGCACCGGCUAACUCCGUGCCCGCAGCCGCGGUAAUACGGAGGGUGCAAGCGUUAAUCGGAAUUACUGGGCGUAAAGCGCACGCAGGCGGUCUGUCAAGUCGGAUGUGAAAUCCCCGGGCUCAACCUGGGAACUGCAUUCGAAACUGGCAGGCUAGAGUCUUGUAGAGGGGGGUAGAAUUCCAGGUGUAGCGGUGAAAUGCGUAGAGAUCUGGAGGAAUACCGGUGGCGAAGGCGGCCCCCUGGACAAAGACUGACGCUCAGGUGCGAAAGCGUGGGGAGCAAACA
This 427-nucleotide ribosomal RNA is filed under the name uncultured bacterium. RNAcentral describes it as "partial 16S ribosomal RNA". It matches the Rfam family "Bacterial small subunit ribosomal RNA", at positions 355 to 774 of the family's 1533-position model. The record is from RNAcentral.